RNAcentral lists this ribosomal RNA (584 nucleotides) under uncultured bacterium. RNAcentral describes it as "partial 16S ribosomal RNA". It matches the Rfam family "Bacterial small subunit ribosomal RNA", at positions 355 to 1375 of the family's 1533-position model. The record is from RNAcentral.
UGGGGAAUUUUGGACAAUGGGCGAAAGCCUGAUCCAGCAAUGCCGCGUGUGUGAAGAAGGCCUUCGGGUUGUAAAGCACUUUUGUCCGGAAAGAAAUCCUUGGCUCUAAUACAGUCGGGGGAUGACGGUACCGGAAGAAUAAGCACCGGCUAACUACGUGCCAGCAGCCGCGGUAAUACGUAGGGUGCAAGCGUUAAUCGGAAUUACUGGGCGUAAAGCGUGCGCAGGCGGUUUGCUAAGACCGAUGUGAAAUCCCCGGGCUCAACCUGGGAACUGCAUUGGUGACUGGCAGGCUAGAGUGUGGCAGAGGGGGGUAGAAUUCCACGUGUAGCAGUGAAAUGCGUAGAGAUGUGGAGGAAUACCGAUGGCGAAGGCAGCCCCCUGGGCCAAUACUGACGCUCAUGCACGAAAGCGUGGGGAGCAAACAGGAUUAGAUACCCUGGUAGUCCACGCCCUAAACGAUGUCAACUAGUUGUUGGGGAUUCAUUUCCUAGUAACGUAGCUAACGCGUGAAGUUGACCGCCUGGGGAGUACGGUCGCAAGAUUAAAACUCAAAUGAAUUGACGGGGUCAUAGCUGUUUCCU